This 497-nucleotide ribosomal RNA is filed under the name uncultured bacterium. RNAcentral describes it as "partial 16S ribosomal RNA". It matches the Rfam family "Bacterial small subunit ribosomal RNA", at positions 28 to 507 of the family's 1533-position model. The record is from RNAcentral.
GAUGAACGCUGGCGGCGUGCCUAAUACAUGCAAGUCGAGCGAACAGAUAAGGAGCUUGCUCCUUUGACGUUAGCGGCGGACGGGUGAGUAACACGUGGGUAACCUACCUAUAAGACUGGAAUAACUCCGGGAAACCGGGGCUAAUGCCGGAUAACAUGUUGAACCGCAUGGUUCUACAGUGAAAGGCGGCUUUGCUGUCACUUAUAGAUGGACCCGCGCCGUAUUAGCUAGUUGGUGAGGUAACGGCUCACCAAGGCAACGAUACGUAGCCGACCUGAGAGGGUGAUCGGCCACACUGGAACUGAGACACGGUCCAGACUCCUACGGGAGGCAGCAGUGGGGAAUCUUCCGCAAUGGGCGAAAGCCUGACGGAGCAACGCCGCGUGAGUGAUGAAGGUCUUCGGAUCGUAAAACUCUGUUAUUAGGGAAGAACAAAUGCGUAAGUAACUGUGCGCGUCUUGACGGUACCUAAUCAGAAAGCCACGGCUAACUACGUG